CCUACGGGUGGCAGCAGUGGGGAAUAUUGCACAAUGGGCGCAAGCCUGAUGCAGCCAUGCCGCGUGUGUGAAGAAGGCCUUCGGGUUGUAAAGCACUUUCAGCGGGGAGGAAGGCGGUGAGGUUAAUAACCUCAUCGAUUGACGUUACCCGCAGAAGGAGCACCGGCUAACUCCGUGCCAGCAGCCGCGGUAAUACGGAGGGUGCAAGCGUUAAUCGGAAUUACUGGGCGUAAAGCGCACGCAGGCGGUCUGUCAAGUCGGAUGUGAAAUCCCCGGGCUCAACCUGGGAACUGCAUUCGAAACUGGCAGGCUAGAGUCUUGUAGAGGGGGGUAGAAUUCCAGGUGUAGCGGUGAAAUGCGUAGAGAUCUGGAGGAAUACCGGUGGCGAAGGCGGCCCCCUGGACAAAGACUGACGCUCAGGUGCGAAAGCGUGGGGAGCAAACAGGAUUAGAUACCCCUGUAGUC
This 465-nucleotide ribosomal RNA is filed under the name uncultured Klebsiella sp. RNAcentral's name for it is "bacterial SSU rRNA". It matches the Rfam family "Bacterial small subunit ribosomal RNA", at positions 338 to 795 of the family's 1533-position model. Lineage: Bacteria; Pseudomonadati; Pseudomonadota; Gammaproteobacteria; Enterobacterales; Enterobacteriaceae. The record is from RNAcentral.